RNAcentral lists this ribosomal RNA (253 nucleotides) under uncultured Coprococcus sp. RNAcentral describes it as "partial 16S ribosomal RNA". It matches the Rfam family "Bacterial small subunit ribosomal RNA", at positions 524 to 776 of the family's 1533-position model. Lineage: Bacteria; Bacillati; Bacillota; Clostridia; Lachnospirales; Lachnospiraceae. The record is from RNAcentral.
UACGGGGGGUGCAAGCGUUGUCCGGAAUCAUUGGGCGUAAAGCGUUCGUAGGCGGCAAGGUAAGUCUGAUGUUAAAGCCCGGGGCUCAACUCCGGGACUGCUUUUGAAACUGUGUUGCUAGAUUGCAGGAGAGGUAAGUGGAAUUCCUAGUGUAGCGGUGAAAUGCGUAGAUAUUAGGAGGAACACCAGUGGCGAAGGCGGCUUACUGGACUGUAAAUGACGCUGAGGCUCGAAAGCGUGGGGAGCAAACAGG